GGAAAAUGGCGCGGCUACCAUGCAGUCGAGCGGCAGCGGGAAAGUAGCUUGCUACUUUUGCCGGCGAGCGGCGGACGGGUGAGUAAUGCCUGGGGAUCUGCCCAGUCGAGGGGGAUAACUACUGGAAACGGUAGCUAAUACCGCAUACGCCCUACGGGGGAAAGCAGGGGACCUUCGGGCCUUGCGCGAUUGGAUGAACCCAGGUGGGAUUAGCUAGUUGGUGAGGUAAUGGCUCACCAAGGCGACGAUCCCUAGCUGGUCUGAGAGGAUGAUCAGCCACACUGGAACUGAGACACGGUCCAGACUCCUACGGGAGGCAGCAGUGGGGAAUAUUGCACAAUGGGGGAAACCCUGAUGCAGCCAUGCCGCGUGUGUGAAGAAGGCCUUCGGGUUGUAAAGCACUUUCAGCGAGGAGGAAAGGUUGGUAGCUAAUAACUGCCAGCUGUGACGUUACUCGCAGAAGAAGCACCGGCUAACUCCGUGCCAGCAGCCGCGGGUAAUACGGAGGGUGCAAGCGUUAAUCGGAAUUACUGGGCGUAAAGCGCACGCAGGCGGUUGGAUAAGUUAGAUGUGAAAGCCCCGGGCUCAACCUGGGAAUUGCAUUUAAAACUGUCCAGCUAGAGUCUUGUAGAGGGGGGUAGAAUUCCAGUGUAGCGGGUGAAAUGCGUAGAGAUCUGGAGGAAUACCGGUGGCGAAAGGCGGCCCCCUGGGACAAGACUGACGCUCAGUGCGAAAGCGUGGGGGGAGCAAAGCAGGAUUAGAUACCCUGGGUAGUCCCACGCCGUAACGAUGUCGAUUUGGGAGGCUGUGUCCCUUGAGACGUGGCUUUCCCGGAGCUAACGCGUUUAAAUCGACCGCCCUGGGGGAGUACGGCCGCAAGGUUAAGACUCAAUGAACUUGACGGGGGCCGCCACAAGCCGGUGGGAGCAUGGUGGAUUGAUUCCGAAUGCAACGCGUAGAAUCCUUACCUGACCAUGACAUGUUCUGGCAACUCCAGCUAAGGAU
This 1005-nucleotide ribosomal RNA is filed under the name Aeromonas veronii. RNAcentral describes it as "bacterial SSU rRNA". It matches the Rfam family "Bacterial small subunit ribosomal RNA", at positions 31 to 1011 of the family's 1533-position model. The record is from RNAcentral. Lineage: Bacteria; Pseudomonadati; Pseudomonadota; Gammaproteobacteria; Aeromonadales; Aeromonadaceae.